AAAAAAAAUAUAGAACUGCUUAAAGUGGGAUAUUUUUUUUUUCUAACUCGGCUAUUUUAAUCUAUUUUUCCCCCAAGUUUAUUGUCAACUCAUCGCUUAGUGAAUCUACCUCCAUAAUUCUGGAGAAUAAUGCUCUGUCAGUGAUGGAUAUCCCUGAUCUCAAUCAGUGCCGUGUACCCCGAUCAUAUCGCAGUAUUUUUCACUGAUGAAAUCAGAGAACUCCACAAUAUUGUUAACAGGCAUUUAAAGGAAAGUUUCCCAGUAUAUCUGGUCUGAAACUGUCCAUACAUCAAAGGAUAGAAG
Non-coding RNA from Pelobates cultripes (western spadefoot toad), 303 nucleotides. The record is from the annotation of a GenBank genome assembly. Lineage: Eukaryota; Metazoa; Chordata; Amphibia; Anura; Pelobatidae.